Molecule: ribosomal RNA, 460 nt
Filed under: uncultured bacterium
Lineage: Bacteria
Description: partial 16S ribosomal RNA
Rfam family: Bacterial small subunit ribosomal RNA
Source: RNAcentral
CCUACGGGCGGCAGCAGUGAGGAAUAUUGGUCAAUGGACGAGAGUCUGAACCAGCCAAGUAGCGUGAAGGAUGACUGCCCUAUGGGUUGUAAACUUCUUUUAUAUGGGAAUAAAACGUUCCACGUGUGGGAUUUUGUAUGUACCAUAUGAAUAAGGAUCGGCUAACUCCGUGCCAGCAGCCGCGGUAAUACGGAGGAUCCGAGCGUUAUCCGGAUUUAUUGGGUUUAAAGGGAGCGUAGGUGGAUUGUUAAGUCAGUUGUGAAAGUUUGCGGCUCAACCGUAAAAUUGCAGUUGAAACUGGCAGUCUUGAGUACAGUAGAGGUGGGCGGAAGUCGUGGUGUAGCGGUGAAAUGCUUAGAGAUCACGAAGAACUCCGAUUGCGAAGGCAGUUCACUGGACUGCAACUGACACUGAGGCUCGAAAGUGUGGGUAUCAAACAGGAUUAGAUACCCUGGUAGUC